CCUACGGGGGGCGGCAGUGGGGAGUAUUGGGCAAUGGGCGCAAGCCUGACCCAGCAACGCCGCGUGAGGGAAGAAGGUUUUCGGAUUGUAAACCUCUGUCCUUGGGGACGAAAAAAAUGACGGUACCCAAGGAGGAAGCUCCGGCUAACUACGUGCCAGCAGCCCCGGUC
RNAcentral lists this ribosomal RNA (170 nucleotides) under uncultured bacterium. RNAcentral describes it as "partial 16S rRNA". It matches the Rfam family "Bacterial small subunit ribosomal RNA", at positions 338 to 522 of the family's 1533-position model. The record is from RNAcentral.